CGAACCUAGCGGGACCUGGGGGUGUCUCGGGAGUCAGGAGUCUUGCCCGUGACCUUUCUCCCUCUACCCUAUAGCAGCAGCAUUUGUAGUCGGUGUUUACCUUGGCUCAGCCGUCCUCCCGAUCCACACAGCGAGACCGGGACCGUAUACCGCUGGGAGGGAGGCUUCUUUGGCCCCAUAAAAAGAAGUAAGAAGGAACUUGAGUCACCCAAGUUCAAGGCUUCCACGCCCAGCACCUAGAGUGCUGGAGCUGGAAGAAGCCUAAGUCCCAGCUAGUCCAGGCCUUUAGCCAGCGGGCACCCUUGAGGAGUCCCAGCAGCUCCUGGACAUGUGGACAGCGACUGAUGGAAGACAUGCCUCCCGGCUACGAGACCCCCACAGCCCACGAGCCCACGGAUUUCCCCUCUCAGCCAGCUCCAGCCUCUGCUACCCCCUCUGCUCCUCACUUCUCUAAAACGAAACAUGUCACAGUCAU
Long non-coding RNA from Lemur catta (Ring-tailed lemur), 475 nucleotides. RefSeq lists it as uncharacterized. The transcript is spliced from 3 exons. The record is from RefSeq and is a predicted model, not a curated record. NCBI's taxonomy places the organism in Eukaryota, Metazoa, Chordata, Mammalia, Primates, Lemuridae.